Molecule: non-coding RNA, 648 nt
Organism: Paramuricea clavata
Lineage: Eukaryota; Metazoa; Cnidaria; Anthozoa; Malacalcyonacea; Plexauridae
Source: the annotation of a GenBank genome assembly
CCGCGUUUUACCCCCUUUUCCGCGUUUUACCCCCUUUUCCGCGUUUUACCCUCUUUUCCGUUUCCGUUUUUCCGUUUCCGUCAUUCCGGUUCCGCCGGUCCGUUCCGUUUCCGCGUUUUACCCCUACCCCUAUUUUGGGGCACAAAAAAAGAUGUGUUAGUAGAAAAAGGUGUGUUAUUGGAGAAAGGUGUGCUAUUUUAAAAGGUGUGUUAUCUUCCAAAGGUGUGUUAUCUUUCAAAGGUGUGUUAAUUGAGCACACCUUACCCUUACUCGAAAGGUGUGUUAGAUAAAGGUGUGUUACAGAACACACCUUUUGCGUACACUGUGUUCUGCUCAGCACACCUUGGUGUGUUUUGUAGCACACCUUGGUGUGUUUUGUAGCACACCUUGGUGUGUUCAGUGACAAGAAAACACACCUUGUGUGCUAUUUUAGCACACCUUGUGUGUUAAAUAACACACCAAGGUGUGUUGUUUAGCACACCUAUUUUUAAGAGUGUUCGUAUACAAUUUGCCAUAUCGAAAAUAUAUUCUUCUUGUCAGAUUGUAGAUGAUUAGAAGACUAGAAGUGGUUUUUCCGUUGUGGAAUAACUGACGUGUGGCUGUGUGCUAAAACUGCCGACAGAACAAUAGUGGCGGCGAAAAAAAGCG